This 352-nucleotide long non-coding RNA is filed under the name Rattus norvegicus (Norway rat). RNAcentral describes it as "long non-coding RNA NONRATT015291". Lineage: Eukaryota; Metazoa; Chordata; Mammalia; Rodentia; Muridae. The record is from RNAcentral.
UGGACCAUGUCCAGAGAAGGCCAAAGAAGAAGAGCUUUGCAGUCAGUGAUUGGCGGCUCCUGUAGUGUGUGUUGGCUCCUGGUUUUACCUUAGCUAUGGGCCAUUGGUUUUCUCAGAGUGGAAGACACAGUUCCGUGAAUCAGAAGACAACAAAUGCUAAGAAAGGACCAGUUAAAAAGAUUGCAUCAUGCUCAGUUCAGCGUUUUAAAAUCAAGGUUUCAUCAUAAUCCCAGAUGACAAGCAUAGGAAAGUUUCAGGGAAAUACUGCGGAUAACUUCACCAUGUACUACAUUGUUCUUGGACAACCCCAACCCCCAACCCCCGAUGGUAACCUUGAGGAUUUAAGACCAAU